RNAcentral lists this long non-coding RNA (1177 nucleotides) under Zonotrichia albicollis (white-throated sparrow). Its description in RNAcentral is "lncRNA (ENSZALG00000003933.1)". The record is from RNAcentral. Lineage: Eukaryota; Metazoa; Chordata; Aves; Passeriformes; Passerellidae.
GCCAGCAGAAACAAACCUUUCAGGAGCCCCACGGAAAGCAAGCUCUGCAGAAGAGGAUCCCUUCCCAGAACCCUUGAAAGAGGAAGGUGCCUCUGACCAAAGCUCUUUGCUAAGAGAGAUGAAUGAUGCAAUAGCAGCUCUGAGCAAGCAUCUGAAGGCACAGGCUCUGGGUGCACCCCCUGCCCUGGCAGACACUGCCUGGCACCCCUGGGACAAUGCUGAGCCCCACACGGGGCCAGAGGCAGCAACAACCCAUGAAACAACCCCUGGGGUCCUGCAGGAGACCCUCCCUGGCCACAUCCACCGUGAGCUGCUGGAAGGAGACCUGCAGGAGGGACCAGGCACAGCUGGGCUUCGUGCUCUGGAUGUGACACAGGCUGGUGGGUCUGCAGGAGCCGGGCACUGCACGGCUCAGGAGGCAGGGGCAGAGCAGGGAGAGAGCCCAGAGGAGGCACAGAGGAUGUUAUUCCUGCCAGGAAAAGGAGAUGAUGUGUGGCGGCUUUGUGCUCCGGGACAGGCAGCCCAAAGGGAGCUUCAGGAGCAGGUUUCAGCACAGGGACAUGAGGGGAGGCCUCACAUGGUGACCCAACAGCCAGAGAGGGAGACACCACCCACGAGGGAACCGGAGCACACGGCUGCUGGAGCUGCUGAGCAUCCGAAGCAAGAGGUGCCACCAGCAUCACCACUGCACAAAGCAGUGAGAGAAGGAGAUGCUGGCAGUGAUCAGCUGGGGGUGGUCCUCAGAGAAAACUCACUGGGGCAAAGGCAGCUCUUGGGAGAACAGAGCAAAGACAUCACUGUUGGUCAACGAGAGAAGGUGCGAGAGUUUGGUGAGAAAAUGAGCCAGGAGGGUGAGCCCAGCUCAGGAGAGCCAGGGGCUGUGACUGCAGCUGGGGCAGCUCCACAGGGUUGUCCUAGAGCUGCCCUGGACCCAGAGCACCUGUACAACGUGCUGUUUGUUGGGGACUCCCACGUGGGCAAAACGUCGUUCCUGUACCGCCUGCACGCCGACACCUUCAACCCCCACCUGACAGCCACUGUGGGUAGGUCUCCUCCAGCCCCCUCCAAGAACUCACUUAAAUUCCUGCAAUUCCCUUUCCUCCACUCCACAAGCUGCUGGAGGUCCCCACACGCCUGUUACAGCUCACACCAAGCGUGUUGUACAAGCAGUCCCCAG